This is a long non-coding RNA of Ictalurus punctatus (channel catfish), 1208 nucleotides long. The record is from Ensembl. NCBI's taxonomy places the organism in Eukaryota, Metazoa, Chordata, Actinopteri, Siluriformes, Ictaluridae.
UCGACAAGACCUCUGAAGGUGUGCUGUGGUAUCUGGCACCGAGAUGUUAACAGCAGGUCCUUUAAGUCCUGUAAAUUGCAAUGUGGGGGCUCCAUGGAUUGGACUUGUUUGUCCGGCACGUCCCACAGAUGCUCGAUUGGAUGGAGAUCUGGGGAAUUUGGAGGCCGACUCAACACCUUGAACUCUUUGUCAUGUUCCUCAAACCGUUCCUGAACAAUAUUUGCAGUGUCUCGGGGCCUCAGUGAAAGAGACCGCUGACAUUAGGGAAUACUGUUGCCAUGAAGGUGUGUACUCGGUCUGCAACAAUGUUUAGGUAGAUGGUACGUGUCAAUGUAACAUCCACAUGAAUGCCAGGACCUAAAGUUUCCCAGCAGAACAUUACAUAGAGCAUCACACUGCCUCCGCCGACUUGCCUUCUUCCCAUAGUGCAUCCUGGUUCCAUCUCUUCCCCAGGUGCUUUCGGAGGUGGACAGGAGUCAGCAUGGGCGCUCUGACCGGUCUGUGGCUACACAGCCCCAUACACAUCAAGCUGUGAUGCACGGUGUGUCCUGACACCUUUCUACCAGAACCGGCGUUAACUUUUUCAGCAAUUUGUGCUACAGUAGAUCUUCUGUGCGAUCGGACCAGACGGGCUAGUCUUCGCUCCCCAAUCCUUUGGGGCCAUGAUCCUGUCACCGGUUCACCGGUUGUCCUUCCUUGGACCACUUUUGAAGAGGUCCAGGUAGAACUCCCUUUGAGAACCCAAGACCAUCAAAAGAAUCGCUGAGGAACCCUAUUUUUCUAAGCAUGUACGUGCAUAUCGACUGAUCCCAAUGUAAAGCUGUUUGGAGAUCUUGGAGAUGGGAGACGUGAUCGAGAACUUGUAAACGCCUUGGUGGAAGAAUGGAGGAACAUCUCACAGCAAGAACUGACCAAUCUGGUGCAGGCCAUGAGGAUGAGAUGCCCUGUAGCACAAAGCAGCUGGAGGAAACCAGAUACUCACUGUUACUUUUAAUAUCGACCCCCCGCCCCCCCUCCCCUUUCUUCAGGGACAUAUUAUUCCAUUUGUGUUCCUCAAAUAUCUGUGAAACUUCUUCAGUUUCUGUCGCAGUUGUUAAAUGUUUUUAUGUUAAUACAAUUAGUAUUACUGUUAUAUUACUAUCAUAAUAUAAAUAUAUAUAAAUAUAAAUAUAUCUUAAUAUAUUAAGAAAUUUGCUGGAAAUAAAAGC